This is a long non-coding RNA of Leptopilina boulardi, 1234 nucleotides long. RefSeq lists it as uncharacterized. The transcript has 4 exons. NCBI's taxonomy places the organism in Eukaryota, Metazoa, Arthropoda, Insecta, Hymenoptera, Figitidae. The record is from RefSeq and is a predicted model, not a curated record.
AUUAAAUAUGGGGUCUUUAGGGUAGGUUUUGGGGACUUUCCCCCACUUUUUUUGGGGUGUCAAUUUUUUUCAACACUUGUAGGUGUGUUUAGUGCGAGAAUAUGAAAAAAAAUUUUGAGCCUAAGAAAAAUUGAAUUUUUUGGGAAUUUUUUUAUUAAAUAUGGGGUCUUUAGGGUAGGUUUUGGGGACUUUCCCCCACUUUUUUUGGGGUGUCAAUUUUUUUCAACACUUGUAGGUGUGUUUAGUGCGAGAAUAUGAAAAAAAAUUUUGAGCCUAAGAAAAAUUAAAUUUUUUGGAAAUUUUUUAUUUAAGAUGGGGUCUUUAGGGUAGGUUUUGGGGACUUUCCCCCACUUUUUUUGGGGUGUCAAUUUUUUUCAACACUUGUAGGUGUGUUUAGUGCGAGAAUAUGAAAAAAAAUUUUGAGCCUAAGAAAAAUUGAAUUUUUUGGAAAUUUUUUAUUUAAGAUGGGGUCUUUAGGGUAGGUUUUGGGGACUUUCCCCCACUUUUUUUGGGGUGUCAAUUUUUUUCAACACUUGUAGGUGUGUUUAGUGCGAGAAUAUGAAAAAAAAUUUUGAGCCUAAGAAAAAUUGAAUUUUUUGGGAAUUUUUUUAUUAAAUAUGGGGUCUUUAGGGUAGGUUUUGGGGACUUUCCCCCACUUUUUUUGGGGUGUCAAUUUUUUUCAACACUUGUAGGUGUGUUUAGUGCGAGAAUAUGAAAAAAAAUUUUGAGCCUAAGAAAAAUUGAAUUUUUUGGGAAUUUUUUUAUUAAAUAUGGGGUCUUUAGGGUAGGUUUUGGGGACUUUCCCCCACUUUUUUUGGGGUGUCAAUUUUUUUCAACACUUGUAGGUGUGUUUAGUGCGAGAAUAUGAAAAAAAAUUUUGAGCCUAAGAAAAAUUGAAUUUUUUGGGAAUUUUUUUAUUAAAGAUGGGGUCUUUAGGGUAGGUUUUGGGGACUUUCCCCCACUUUUUUUGGGGUGUCAAUUUUUUUCAACACUUGUAGGUGUGUUUAGUGCGAGAAUAUGAAAAAAAAUUUUGAGCCUAAGAAAAAUUGAAUUUUUUGGGAAUUUUUUUAUUAAAGAUGGGGUCUUUAGGGUAGGUUUUGGGGACUUUCCCCCACUUUUUUUGGGGUGUCAAUUUUUUUCAACACUUGUAGGUGUGUUUAGUGCGAGAAUAUGAAAAAAAAUUUUGAGCCUAAGAAAAAUUGAAUUUUUUGGGAAUUUUUUUAUUAAAUAUGGG